RNAcentral lists this ribosomal RNA (294 nucleotides) under uncultured bacterium. RNAcentral describes it as "partial 16S ribosomal RNA". The record is from RNAcentral.
GGACUACUAGGGUAUCUAAUCCGUUUUGCUCCCCACGCUUUCAUGCCUCAAUGUCAGUAACAGAAUAGUUAACUGCCUUCGCCAUAUCGGUGUUCUUUCAUAUAUCUACGCAUUUUACCGCUCCACAUAAAGUUCCGUUAACCUCUCCUGUACUCAAGUCUGACAGUAUUACCAACUUCCACGAGGUUGGGCCUCGAUUUCCCACUAGUAACUUAUCAAACCAUCUACGCAUCCUUUACGCCCAAUAAUUCCGGAUAACGUUCGUCACCUAUGUCUUACCGCGGCGGCUGGCAC